This 425-nucleotide ribosomal RNA is filed under the name uncultured bacterium. RNAcentral's name for it is "bacterial SSU rRNA". It matches the Rfam family "Bacterial small subunit ribosomal RNA", at positions 359 to 775 of the family's 1533-position model. The record is from RNAcentral.
GAAUAUUGGACAAUGGGGGGAACCCUGAUCCAGCCAUGCCGCGUGUGUGAAGAAGGCCUUUUGGUUGUAAGGCACUUUAAGCGAGGAGGAGGCUACUCUAGUUAAUACCUAGAGAUAGUGGACGUUACUCGCAGAAUAGGCACCGGCUAACUCUGUGCCAGCAGCCGCGGUAAUGCAGAGGGUGCAAGCGUUAAUCGGAUUUACUGGGCGUAAAGCGCGCGUAGGUGGCCAAUUAAGUCAAAUGUGAAAUCCCCGAGCUUAACUUGGGAAUUGCAUUCGAUACUGGUUGGCUAGAGUAUGGGAGAGGAUGGUAGAAUUCCAGGUGUAGCGGUGAAAUGCGUAGAGAUCUGGAGGAAUACCGAUGGCGAAGGCAGCCCCCUGGGAUAAUACUGACGCUCAUGCACGAAAGCGUGGGGAGCAAACAG